Non-coding RNA from Biomphalaria pfeifferi, 245 nucleotides. NCBI's taxonomy places the organism in Eukaryota, Metazoa, Mollusca, Gastropoda, Planorbidae. The record is from the annotation of a GenBank genome assembly.
GGGUUCUUCAUGAACGACCCAUCGGCGUUUAUUGUGUGUCUUGCCAUCUGUUGUAGCUUGUCAAAUGGAACAUUCCUAGGGGUUGCUCCAUUCUGCCGGCUGAUGUUGAUGGGAAGGGUGGACAGCCUCCUCCACUGACGACAAGUAAGCUUACUAAUUAGGCUAUCUUUACAGUAGGCCUACCCUAUCAGGGGAGAAUCAAGCAUUUUCACAUUAAUUGUGCGCAAAUUGUAAAAAUGACCACA